GUGGAUUAUACCCCAGUAGUCCACGCCGUAAACGAUGAUAACUAGCUGUCAGGGCACAUGGUGUUUUGGUGGCGCAGCUAACGCAUUAAGUUAUCCGCCUGGGGAGUACGGUCGCAAGAUUAAAACUCAAAGGAAUUGACGGGGGCCUGCACAAGCGGUGGAGCAUGUGGUUUAAUUCGAAGCAACGCGCAGAACCUUACCAACGUUUGACAUCCCUAUCGCGGAUCGUGGAGACACUUUCCUUCAGUUCGGCUGGAUAGGUGACAGGUGCUGCACGGUCGUCGUCAGCU
This 290-nucleotide ribosomal RNA is filed under the name uncultured bacterium. Its description in RNAcentral is "partial 16S ribosomal RNA". It matches the Rfam family "Bacterial small subunit ribosomal RNA", at positions 773 to 1060 of the family's 1533-position model. The record is from RNAcentral.